AGCCUUCUGUAUCCGUGCUGAGAUUCCGUCAGCAAGCAACCCGCUGGCGUUGGCUGAUGCAACUUCCCAAAUAAGUGAAGUG
RNAcentral lists this microRNA precursor (82 nucleotides) under Trichobilharzia regenti. Its description in RNAcentral is "mir-3492 microRNA precursor family". The record is from Rfam by way of RNAcentral. Lineage: Eukaryota; Metazoa; Platyhelminthes; Trematoda; Strigeidida; Schistosomatidae.